GCGGGCGUGGUGGAAUUGGCAGACACCCGGGCUUUAGGUGCCCGUGCUUGAAAGAGCGUGAGGGUUCGAGUCCCUCCGCCCGCACAA
This 87-nucleotide transfer RNA is filed under the name Mycobacterium sp. ELW1. RNAcentral describes it as "tRNA-Leu". It matches the Rfam family "tRNA". From Rfam's summary of the family: Transfer RNA (tRNA) molecules are approximately 80 nucleotides in length. Lineage: Bacteria; Bacillati; Actinomycetota; Actinomycetes; Mycobacteriales; Mycobacteriaceae. The record is from RNAcentral.